Molecule: ribosomal RNA, 1024 nt
Filed under: Metarhizium sp. MY00896
Lineage: Eukaryota; Fungi; Ascomycota; Sordariomycetes; Hypocreales; Clavicipitaceae
Also listed under: 1 other name
Description: SSU rRNA
Rfam family: Eukaryotic small subunit ribosomal RNA
Source: RNAcentral
UUAUACAGCGAAACUGCGAAUGGCUCAUUAUAUAAGUUAUCGUUUAUUUGAUAGUACCUUACUACUUGGAUAACCGUGGUAAUUCUAGAGCUAAUACAUGCUAAAAAUCCCGACUUCGGAAGGGAUGUAUUUAUUAGAUUAAAAACCAAUGCCCCUCGGGGCUCUCUGGUGAUUCAUGAUAACUUCUCGAAUCGCACGGCCUUGCGCCGGCGAUGGUUCAUUCAAAUUUCUUCCCUAUCAACUUUCGAUGUUUGGGUAGUGGCCAAACAUGGUUGCAACGGGUAACGGAGGGUUAGGGCUCGACCCCGGAGAAGGAGCCUGAGAAACGGCUACUACAUCCAAGGAAGGCAGCAGGCGCGCAAAUUACCCAAUCCCGAUUCGGGGAGGUAGUGACAAUAAAUACUGAUACAGGGCUCUUUCGGGUCUUGUAAUUGGAAUGAGUACAAUUUAAAUCCCUUAACGAGGAACAAUUGGAGGGCAAGUCUGGUGCCAGCAGCCGCGGUAAUUCCAGCUCCAAUAGCGUAUAUUAAAGUUGUUGUGGUUAAAAAGCUCGUAGUUGAACCUUGGGCCUGGCUGGCCGGUCCGCCUCACCGCGUGUCACUGGUCCGGCCGGGUCUUUCCCUCUGUGGAACCACAUGCCCUUCACUGGGCGUGGCGGGGAAACAGGACUUUUACUUUGAAAAAAUUAGAGUGCUCCAGGCAGGCCUAUGCUCGAAUACAUUAGCAUGGAAUAAUAAAAUAGGACGUGCGGUUCUAUUUUGUUGGUUUCUAGGACCGCCGUAAUGAUUAAUAGGGACAGUCGGGGGCAUCAGUAUUCAAUUGUCAGAGGUGAAAUUCUUGGAUUUAUUGAAGACUAACUACUGCGAAAGCAUUUGCCAAGGAUGUUUUCAUUAAUCAGGAACGAAAGUUAGGGGAUCGAAGACGAUCAGAUACCGUCGUAGUCUUAACCAUAAACUAUGCCGACUAGGGAUCGGACGAUGUUAUUUAGUUGACUCGUUCGGCACCUUACGAGAAAUCAAAGUGC